RNAcentral lists this long non-coding RNA (682 nucleotides) under Homo sapiens (human). RNAcentral describes it as "HSALNT0298642". The record is from RNAcentral. Lineage: Eukaryota; Metazoa; Chordata; Mammalia; Primates; Hominidae.
GUUUAGCUCAGCUGAAGGCAACAUGGAGUCCAUUCUGGCAGCCUAACAUGGCUGCAUUCUCAGCAUUUCACGUUGAUGAACUGGAGGCUGGAUCAUUGCAUUCUCCUGUCGUGGCUAAGAAAGCUUCUUCUUGAGUAAAUUUUACUGGAAUCUGGGUUAAAGGACAAAUCUUGGAAGUUAAAGGGUAAUUGGAUCACCGGAGAACUCCUGAAAGAUUUAUCUCCCUGGAGGUACUUCCAUGGAGUGUGGGAGAUCAGAAAUAUGCCACAGGAAAAUAUGAAGGAUUGUUGAGCUGAAGGCAAUGAAGAAGCAGCAGAUGCAAGAAAGCUCUCUGCCCUCCCUCUAUUUGCCUAAAAGCAGGACAUAGAUUUACAAAAACAAAAGGUAUCCUGCCCCACCUUCUACUGGGAAGAGCAAAAAUAUUAACUACCAAAGACAACUUCGGACCCUUAUUGGCCUAGAGAUGAUACCAGAAGAAUCUACAUUAACAAGCUUUACUUACUGGCCUUUAUUGCCACUCAUUUCCUUCCUCCAAGUUGCUGCCCUUAGAGACUCAACGUCCUUUUCCUUUGUCUUGUCACAUCCUAAAAAUGUACUGUUUGAACUGGAAUUCUAACGCACCUCUUUGAAAACUACUCAUUCUCUGGGUGUCUCCCAUGUAUAUAUGAAAUAUACAUGUUAA